AGCAGCCGCGGUAAUUCCAGCUCCAAUAGCGUAUAUUAAAGUUGUUGCAGUUAAAAAGCUCGUAGUUGAAUUUCGGGGUUAGUAGGUUGGUCAUGCCUCCGGUAUGUACUGGUCUCACUGAUUCCUCCUUCCUGAUGAACCGUAAUGCCAUUAAUUUGGUGUUGCGGGGAAUUUGGACUGUUACUUUGAAAAAUUAGAGUGUUUAAAGCAAGCUAACGCUUGAAUACAUUAGCAUGGAAUAAUGAAAUAGGACGUUCGAUCCUAUUUUGUUGGUUUCUAGGAUUGACGUAAUGAUUAAUAGGGAUAGUUGGGGGCAUUAGUAUUCAAUUGUCAGAGGUGAAAUUCUUGGAUUUAUUGAAGACUAACUACUGCGAAAGCAUUUGCCAAGGAUGUUUUCAUUAAUCAGGAACGAAAGUUAGGGGAUCGAAGACGAUCAGAUACCGUCGUAGU
This 450-nucleotide ribosomal RNA is filed under the name uncultured Glomus. Its description in RNAcentral is "SSU rRNA". It matches the Rfam family "Eukaryotic small subunit ribosomal RNA", at positions 569 to 1024 of the family's 1831-position model. Lineage: Eukaryota; Fungi; Glomeromycota; Glomeromycetes; Glomerales; Glomeraceae. The record is from RNAcentral.